GGUUGACGUUUUCUUAGCCCUGCACCAUCACACUGAUAUUUCGAACAAACCUCAAACAGGAGUCUACCAUCAUGUUUUUCCAGGAUUUGUCAUUUGUCAGUAAGAUUUGAGGAUGUGAGGAAACGUCUGUGAGGCACUGGUGCCAAAUACAUGAUGCUCUACCCAGCUAUGCUGAAAAUAAUCCCCUGUGGGGAGACCAGAAGCUUCGACUUCCCCGUUUAAGCAUCGGCUUUUGUUGACACUCUCAGGUGAACUACAUGUGAGUCACCAGCUGAUGUUUUUAGGUUUAUGGGUAGGUUAUCUAUCUGGAUAUAUGAACAAAAAAAAACUUGUUUUGAACUGAGUUUAUUUGUGGGCAAGUCAUAUAUCUACCUCAUGCGAUUAAUGAGAAUAGUUCACAAAGCUAAAACUGAGCAAUUUUAAAUGACAGUCUUUGCCCUACCGUCCCAUGUUUAUGUGUCAUGAGUGACUGAUAACAUGAUGUGCAAACCAAUAUUACAGAGAGUAUUCUAAUUUGUUUUUGUGCAGGAUUGUGAGCUUUUUCCUUUUUUUCUUUUUCUUUUCUCCUUAUCUUUCUUCUCCUAUUUUUUGAUCCGCUCAUCCUUGUCUAAGAGUGGAUAUUAUCACUCAGGUGGUGUUAUUUGAGUUUGGAGCUGUAAGAGAAGUUAACUUAGUUAGAGUACGGUAUUGGAGAAGGUCAUGGUAAUCCCCUGGCUCCCGUUGGGGAACGUUACUCCUAUAGUGCUGUUGGCAUGUCUGUUAUUUGUAAACUGUGUUGUUUGGUGCAGAAUCUACAUGGAGAUUAUAAUACAUUUGGGAGCUUAAAUCUUGUCAGUAAAAAAUGUUACGACCUGUGACACUGAGAGGCUGUGCACUACGAAUAUUACGGGAAGCCACUCUCCCAUCUAAAUGAAAAAAAUAUUGUCAUCUUUAAAAAAAAGAAAGAUUGACAUUGCUAUAUUGCCAGAAACACACCUGAAUGAUGAGGAACAUUUAAAGCUGCAAUAGUGCCGCUUUGAUCAAGUCUAUUUCUCAUCUUUCACCACCAAAAGCAGAGGGGUGGCAAUACUUAUUAGGAAAAAUUUACCUGUUAAUCUGUCCAAAUGUUUUAAAGAUAAAUAUGUAUGGUCAUAGAUGAGUGACUGAGCGCCCUGAGAGUGGCAGCAAGUCACAGCAGCUCGUCACAGAGUUAAUGUUUUUGCCUUCUUAUUGUUGUUUUUUGCACCUUAUUUGUCUUUCUUUUAUUUUGCAGUGUUGUGUUUUGCAUAUUCCAAUCAUGGAUGUGCAUUUCAUGACUCUAGCACUUUGUUUUCUUUUACCUUUUGGAGUUUUCAAGUCCACGUCCGGCGACCCGUUCAGCGACUCUACUGUUAACAGCCGUUAACAGCUGUUGGCGCUGCGCCGAGCCCAGCCACCUUCGUGGGAGAGUCCGGACAUCCCCCCCAAGCUCCGCAGGAGAAGGAGAGGAUGCAGAGCCGGAGUUCAGCAUCGGGCGAAGCGGAGACAUUAUAAGCCAACUGUCCCAUCCAUCAUUAUGGGAAACAUGAGGUCUCUCCCCAACAAGAUGGAAGAGCUCACAGCGCUGACUCGGCUGCAGUGGGAGUACCGGGAGUGCAGCCUCAUGUUUUUCACAGAGUCAUGGCUAAACGAACUCACUCCGGACCCGCUCGUAACUUUGGACGGAUUUCAUCUCGUCAGAGCGGACCGGAGCGUGAAAGAGAGUGGUAAGAAGAAAGGAGGCGGGAUAGCAGUGUAUGUGAACGAGAGAUCGUGUAAUGCUGGGCACGUCAGUGACCUUCAGGUCAGUGUUAAAGAGCAUCGCUGCUCUAAGGAGCUGCUGGCUGUGAGUUUGCGGCCGUAUUACCUGCCGAGGGAGUUUUCACACGUCAUCGCAUUAACUGUUUAUAUCCCCCCUUGGCUGAUGCUGCUGCAGCCUGUGAACUCCUCCACAGUGAAGUGUCCAAGCAACAAAAAUCCCACCCUCAGUCUCUGAUCAUCAUCUCUGGAGACUUUAAUCAUGCAUUGCUCUCCUCCACUCUCCCUACCUUCAGCCAGUACGUGGAAUGCCCAACGAGACAAUAAAACUUUGGACUUACUGUAUGCAAACACCAAGGAUGCAUGCACCUCCUCCCCCUGCCCCCGCUGGGACACUCAGAUCACAACCUGGUGAGACUGCAGCC
Molecule: non-coding RNA, 2180 nt
Organism: Xyrichtys novacula (pearly razorfish)
Lineage: Eukaryota; Metazoa; Chordata; Actinopteri; Labriformes; Labridae
Source: the annotation of a GenBank genome assembly